RNAcentral lists this ribosomal RNA (84 nucleotides) under Alphaproteobacteria bacterium. RNAcentral describes it as "partial 23S ribosomal RNA". It matches the Rfam family "Bacterial large subunit ribosomal RNA", at positions 2842 to 2925 of the family's 2925-position model. Lineage: Bacteria; Pseudomonadati; Pseudomonadota; Alphaproteobacteria. The record is from RNAcentral.
AGACUACGACGUUGAUAGGCUGGAUGUGGAAGCGUGGUAACACGUGAAGCUAACCAGUACUAAUUGCUCGACCGGCUUGAAUUC